Molecule: ribosomal RNA, 458 nt
Filed under: uncultured bacterium
Lineage: Bacteria
Description: partial 16S ribosomal RNA
Rfam family: Bacterial small subunit ribosomal RNA
Source: RNAcentral
CCUACGGGCGGCAGCAGUGAGGAAUAUUGGUCAAUGGGCGAGAGCCUGAACCAGCCAAGUCGCGUGAGGGAGUACUGCCCUAUGGGUUGUAAACCUCUUUUGUCGGGGAGCAAAAGCCGGACGUGUCCGGCUGUGAGAGUACCCGAAGAAAAAGCAUCGGCUAACUCCGUGCCAGCAGCCGCGGUAAUACGUAGGAUGCGAGCGUUAUCCGGAUUUAUUGGGGUAAAAGGGUGCGCAGGCGGAGUUUUAAGUCAGCGGUCAAAUCGUGGGGCUCAACCCCAUCCAGCCGUUGAAACUGGGGAUCUAGAGUGUGCGAGAGGUAUGCGGAAUGCGUGGUGUAGCGGUGAAAUGCAUAGAUAUCACGCAGAACCCCGAUUGCGAAGGCAGCAUACCGGUGCACAACUGACGCUCAGGCACGAAAGCGUGGGUAUCGAACAGGAUUAGAUACCCCAGUAGUC